This 19-nucleotide small nuclear RNA is filed under the name Arabidopsis thaliana (thale cress). RNAcentral describes it as "snRNA_00949". The record is from RNAcentral. Lineage: Eukaryota; Viridiplantae; Streptophyta; Magnoliopsida; Brassicales; Brassicaceae.
CUGUGGGCUCCCCAUUCGA